RNAcentral lists this small nucleolar RNA (214 nucleotides) under Ananas comosus (pineapple). Its description in RNAcentral is "Plant small nucleolar RNA U3". It matches the Rfam family "Plant small nucleolar RNA U3". From Rfam's summary of the family: Small nucleolar RNAs (snoRNAs) are involved in the processing and modification of rRNA in the nucleolus. There are two main classes of snoRNAs: the box C/D class, and the box H/ACA class. The record is from Rfam by way of RNAcentral. Lineage: Eukaryota; Viridiplantae; Streptophyta; Magnoliopsida; Poales; Bromeliaceae.
ACGACCUUACUUGAACAGGAUCUGUUCUAUAGGUUGUACAACUGUGUCCUUGAGUGUGAAGGAGACAGACAACAAAGUCUGGGUGAUGAAACACGACCUCAGGGCCAGAGCGUGAUUGACAGCCCAGAUCUCCCGAGAUCGGCGAGGCUGUAGAGGAUCGUUUCCGGCAGGUCUCAUGGCCGGCUGGGAUGGUCCUGAGGUUGUCUGACAGACU